This 471-nucleotide ribosomal RNA is filed under the name uncultured bacterium. RNAcentral describes it as "bacterial SSU rRNA". It matches the Rfam family "Bacterial small subunit ribosomal RNA", at positions 27 to 518 of the family's 1533-position model. The record is from RNAcentral.
GGACGAACGCUGGCGGCGUGCUUCAUACAUGCAAGUCGAACGAUAAGGCGUCUUCGGACGUACAUAAGUGGCGGACGGGUGAGUAAAAUGUAGAGAAUCUGCCCUAGAGAGGGGGACAACCGUUGGAAACGACAGCUAAUACCCCAUAUGAGCGUAGCUGAAAUGCUAUUCUUGAAAAACUCCGGUGCUCUGGGAUGAGUCUGCAUCUGAUUAGCUAGUUGGGGGUGUAAUGGACCACCAAGGCGAUGAUCAGUAGCUGGUUUGAGAGGAUGAUCAGCCACAAUGGGACUGAGACACGGCCCAUACUCCUACGGGAGGCAGCAGUAGGGAAUUUUGCGCAAUGGGGGAAACCCUGACGCAGCAACGCCGCGUGACCGAUGAAGCCCUUCGGGGUGUAAAGGUCUGUCAGUGGGGACGAACAAUGACGGUACCCACAGAGGAAGCACCGGCUAACUCCGUGCCAGCCGCCGC